Molecule: non-coding RNA, 379 nt
Organism: Pelobates cultripes (western spadefoot toad)
Lineage: Eukaryota; Metazoa; Chordata; Amphibia; Anura; Pelobatidae
Source: the annotation of a GenBank genome assembly
AUAUAUUCUAUCUAUGAUUUAGUGGCUGAAUGUACAACAAAACACACUUAGUCAAGAUAAUGUGAGAGCUAGCAGAUGGAAUAUACAACAGAAUCUCGCUUAGUCUUGCCGGUAUCCCCUGAUCUAGUGACCGAAUUUACAACAGGAUUACACUUAGUCAAGCCAGGAUACCGGUGUCUGGCUGAACAUAUAUACACAGAAUUCAGCCUGACUACAGUCCCUGUGUUAAACGGGCUAGCUACAGAGCGUUUAACUUCAGAUAUACGGUGCGCCUUCGUAUCUUCCCUUUGUAGGAAAUGGGCAGUCAGAUUACUGGAUACAGAUUUCUACCCCUAGUGGGUUCACAGUCUUACAGUCUUACCUUUAAGUUCCUGGACCU